GGCGGAGCCGGGCAGCGCUGCGCAUGCGCACUGGCUUUACCCGCCCGGUGCUGCUGCUCCGUGGGUACCGUCCGGCGCUGCCCGGGAGCGGCUUGGAAGCGCCGGGUUCGGUUCCCGGCUGCGGCAGCGGCGGGCGAGGGUUGUGGUGACAAUGGAGGAGGGCGGCUGUUGCUGUGGCUGCAGCGAGGCGGAAAGAGCACUCGUGAGAAGUUUCCCAUUUGGAGUUGGAGUCCAAAAGGAAGGAACUUGAAACUGCUUCUUCUGAUAAAUCCCGCAGGGCUGAGCUGGAGAACGGGUGGAGACAGUGGCAAGCGGGAGUCCCAUGUUUACAUCUGCCCUUGGAUUCCAGUUUCUUCCAGUGGGUCUGUGCUGCCCGAAGUACAAAGGAAGGAGGUGUUGGAGUACCUGUUUGUUCACCUGUUGAGCUUGGAAGAGAUGCUGAGUGUGAAAUUCCAGGGGUGCCGGCUCCUUGCGAGCUGUUGGUUGCUCAGGAGAUUGGGUCGGGGAAAGGGGGGGAGAGUCCGAGCACAGCACAGUGGUAGGAGCUGGGUUUGCAUCUCAAUCUAAGGCAUCUCAAAGCCUGAUAAGCUGGAAAGAAGACUUUGCUAUGUUAAUGCACAAUUACAUUUUUGUGCAAUUUUUUGAAAUUAGGGCUGGGAUCAACCUGGGGAGGUUGUCUGGCCCAAUUCCCUGUGCCCUGCUUUGCCAUGAGGAAUGGAUGCCUGACCUCUUUGCAGAGAGCUGCUGCUGAUAAAGAUUUCUCAGUUUCUAUAGUGAAUUUAUCCCAGUACUUUGCUGCUAUAAAGAAGUCUCCUCUUGCUGCCAUUUCCCCCUAUUACAUUUAAGAUCAGCUCCAGCUGAGUUAGAAUUUAAUCCUGACCUUUUCCCCCCUUUUUUUUUCCAAGAGGCCUCAGCUAUCUCGCUAUUUCUUUCCUCUCUCACCCUGCAGGUCCUGUUUUUCAGACCUCGUUCUUUCCUUAUAAAACCCUUGAUAACCCAUUCCCCACUUAAGGCUUUGUUGUAUCCUUGUUUUGCUACCUUCUGGGUGCUGUGGAUGAAGGUCUGGCUUUGAGGAGCACACCCUGCUCCCUUUGCUCAAGGGAUUGCAGUUAUUCCAAUCUCCUGCUGCUGAGGGCUUCUUUAGGCUCUUGCUGAAAUGAAAAAUAUCCAGGAAGCUUUUCCUUUUUUGAGAUUAGACUGGUUUCUGCAAGUCCUUGAGAUGUGACCAUGAUGGUUAAAAACCCACAGUGCAAAUGAAGGUUUCCCCCUUCUUCCCCCCUGCCCCCUACCUGUUCCAUGCUCGGUCCUCUCCCUGCACAGUUCAUUACUUUGUAAUCACAACUGCUAAGGAAACCUUUCUAAUCUUGUCAAUUGGCAGUGCAACUGCUUUUAAAUUCUGUUUUAAAAUAGGUUUUGAAGUCAGGCUCUGCCCUUGCUAUUGAUUUGAAUUCUUGACUGAGUAAAUUAUUGGUGCUUAACAAGCCCUUUGUUGCUUUAAAGCCUUUCUCCAAGGGUCAGAGAAUAACACUGACAGGGAGUGAAGGAGCGCUGCCCAGUAGUUGCUUAGAAACGGAGUGUGUUAAACCAGGUUUCUUUAAAAGCAGUUUUGAGUAAGUGAAAUUCAGUCACUUGAAUUACUUUGGGAAAUGGUCCAUUUAGGAUAGAUCCACACUGACAGAAGCUGUUUAUCUGAGGUCAGUACAUGCUUUGAUCAGUGCAGGGCCUUCCCCUCAAGAAAUGCAUGAGCCAAGCCCAGCAAGGUAGAGGAAAAGACACAAGUUCAGCUUAGAGAGCUGCACAGGUGAAAUCCCAUGGAUGUGCCUGGAGCAUGGCCCUCCCCAGCAGCUUUUCUUACAGUUAAAUUCUUAAAAAAGCUAAAAGCUGAUGUUCAGUACUUUGGGAUCUGGCUCAAAACUGUGGAGAGGAUAAACUCCCUUACUGGAACUCAGGCGGUGGAGUGCUCACAAGCCAGCAGCCAGAUUGCUUCUUGUUCAGCUUCAAUUCAACGUUGGCUUUUUGUUGUUGUUUUGGUUGGUUGGCUGGUUUUAAAGUAUUCUUAGAGAUGCUACAAGUGGAAGAAGAGAACAGAAAUAGAGUGGAGCACCACUGGCACAGUAACUGAUAUUUUACUGUUCCUCUUUUUCUUUUAAAAAUAUAUGUAGAUAACAUGAACUUUUAAACUCUGUGAUUUGGGAGAAACACUUUUUUCUCCCUCUCUUUGGAAGAGAUAUGCAAGUCCUGAGCCAUUGGGCCAAUGCUUGCUGCAUUUUGUUUACGUUUUUACAAUCAAACAAGGGGCUGAUAAGAUUGACAAGGAAGAUACAACUCAGGAGCUCACUAGGCAGCAGCCUCCAAACUCUUUGGGUGAUGCAGUAGGGUAUGAAGACUGUUUUCCAGUGUGAGAUUAAUCCCUAAUAACAUGCUCACUGACAUAAAAGUCACUUCUUAUAAGCCACGUCUUAUUCCCUGAAGUGCAGGAGCUGAGGUGUUUGACAAAGCCUUGGCAGAAUGAUGCAGUAUAUCCCUGUCAGUUUUCUCCUUCUCGUGCUAGCAAGAGCAAUCCAUCUUCUUUAAGGGUUUUGUUCCUUUGGGAUUGUGUGUAGUUUAGAGGGAGAACAGUACCCAGAAGCAUUAAUUAUUUAAUCUGGACUGCUUUUUUCCUCGACGUGUGAGGUCUGAGUAUUGUGCUGGGAUGCAGGGCCAAUAAAAUUUCUGGGAGUCGGACUUGGAGCUUGAAAGUUUUAGAAUUAACACUGGAGACUCAGCUCCCUCUAUGGUCAGAAGAGGGGGAGACACCUUCCUUCAGGAUGUCUCUCCAGGGAAUGCUUUUGCAAAGUUUUCUCUCGUAAUGGCUGAAGUCUUGCCUCUCCCUGAAAUUGCGGUGUAGAUCCCGCUGGAGGCAGUAAAUCUCUCAAAUGUAUGAGCUUGGGCCUACACACCUGCUAAGGUGUGACUAGAGGUGUGAGAGCUUUUGCAAAUGAAUUUGGAAUAAUGAGAAUCACA
This is a long non-coding RNA of Corvus hawaiiensis (hawaiian crow), 3003 nucleotides long. RefSeq lists it as uncharacterized. The record is from RefSeq and is a predicted model, not a curated record. The transcript has 3 exons. NCBI's taxonomy places the organism in Eukaryota, Metazoa, Chordata, Aves, Passeriformes, Corvidae.